GUUAAGCGACUAAGCGUACACGGUGGAUGCCCUGGCAGUCAGAGGCGAUGAAGGACGUGCUAAUCUGCGAUAAGCGUCGGUGAGGUGAUAUGAACCGUUAUAACCGGCGAUUUCCGAAUGGGGAAACCCAGUGUGUUUCGACACACUAUCAUUAACUGAAUCCAUAGGUUAAUGAGGCGAACCGGGGGAACUGAAACAUCUAAGUACCCCGAGGAAAAGAAAUCAACCGAGAUUCCCCCAGUAGCGGCGAGCGAACGGGGAGGAGCCCAGAGCCUGAAUCAGUGUGUGUGUUAGUGGAAGCGUCUGGAAAGGCGUGCGAUACAGGGUGACAGCCCCGUACACAAAAAUGCACAUAUUGUGAGCUCGAUGAGUAGGGCGGGACACGUGGUAUCCUGUCUGAAUAUGGGGGGACCAUCCUCCAAGGCUAAAUACUCCUGACUGACCGAUAGUGAACCAGUACCGUGAGGGAAAGGCGAAAAGAACCCCGGCGAGGGGAGUGAAAAAGAACCUGAAACCGUGUACGUACAAGCAGUGGGAGCCUCUUAAUGGGGUGACUGCGUACCUUUUGUAUAAUGGGUCAGCGACUUAUAUUCUGUAGCAAGGUUAACCGAAUAGGGGAGCCGAAGGGAAACCGAGUCUUAACUGGGCGUUAAGUUGCAGGGUAUAGACCCGAAACCCGGUGAUCUAGCCAUGGGCAGGUUGAAGGUUGGGUAACACUAACUGGAGGACCGAACCGACUAAUGUUGAAAAAUUAGCGGAUGACUUGUGGCUGGGGGUGAAAGGCCAAUCAAACCGGGAGAUAGCUGGUUCUCCCCGAAAGCUAUUUAGGUAGCGCCUCGUGAAUUCAUCUCCGGGGGUAGAGCACUGUUUCGGCAAGGGGGUCAUCCCGACUUACCAACCCGAUGCAAACUGCGAAUACCGGAGAAUGUUAUCACGGGAGACACACGGCGGGUGCUAACGUCCGUCGUGAAG
RNAcentral lists this ribosomal RNA (972 nucleotides) under Escherichia coli. RNAcentral describes it as "partial 23S ribosomal RNA". It matches the Rfam family "Bacterial large subunit ribosomal RNA", at positions 1 to 1015 of the family's 2925-position model. The record is from RNAcentral. Lineage: Bacteria; Pseudomonadati; Pseudomonadota; Gammaproteobacteria; Enterobacterales; Enterobacteriaceae.